This 716-nucleotide ribosomal RNA is filed under the name Salmonella enterica. RNAcentral describes it as "bacterial SSU rRNA". It matches the Rfam family "Bacterial small subunit ribosomal RNA", at positions 799 to 1515 of the family's 1533-position model. The record is from RNAcentral. Lineage: Bacteria; Pseudomonadati; Pseudomonadota; Gammaproteobacteria; Enterobacterales; Enterobacteriaceae.
GCCGUAAACGAUGUCUACUUGGAGGUUGUGCCCUUGAGGCGUGGCUUCCGGAGCUAACGCGUUAAGUAGACCGCCUGGGGAGUACGGCCGCAAGGUUAAAACUCAAAUGAAUUGACGGGGGCCCGCACAAGCGGUGGAGCAUGUGGUUUAAUUCGAUGCAACGCGAAGAACCUUACCUGGUCUUGACAUCCACGGAAGUUUUCAGAGAUGAGAAUGUGCCUUCGGGAACCGUGAGACAGGUGCUGCAUGGCUGUCGUCAGCUCGUGUUGUGAAAUGUUGGGUUAAGUCCCGCAACGAGCGCAACCCUUAUCCUUUGUUGCCAGCGGUCCGGCCGGGAACUCAAAGGAGACUGCCAGUGAUAAACUGGAGGAAGGUGGGGAUGACGUCAAGUCAUCAUGGCCCUUACGACCAGGGCUACACACGUGCUACAAUGGCGCAUACAAAGAGAAGCGACCUCGCGAGAGCAAGCGGACCUCAUAAAGUGCGUCGUAGUCCGGAUUGGAGUCUGCAACUCGACUCCAUGAAGUCGGAAUCGCUAGUAAUCGUGGAUCAGAAUGCCACGGUGAAUACGUUCCCGGGCCUUGUACACACCGCCCGUCACACCAUGGGAGUGGGUUGCAAAAGAAGUAGGUAGCUUAACCUUCGGGAGGGCGCUUACCACUUUGUGAUUCAUGACUGGGGUGAAGUCGUAACAAGGUAACCGUAGGGGAACCUGC